UAUUAUUACUAUUAUUAUUUAUUAUUUUUAUUAUUAUUAUCAUUAUUAUUAUUAUUAUUAUUAUUAUUUGUUUCUUUCUUUUCUCUACGUACUUCUUUUUAUUUAUUUAUAUUUUUCUUCUUUUUCCAGAGGAUCGUAUCAUUCUCGAUAAAAAUAGAGGACGUACCUGGACAAAGUCACUGGCACAAUCACCGCUGGAUGUCAGAGCGAGUUCGUCACAGAGAUAAAGUGGAUUCAUUUGUGUCUCACUUUGUGUUUCGGAACUCCAGUCGUUACUUUGAAUACCAGAAGUAUCUUCGACAGAUGAUCGACGCGUUGGUUGUUGUUUCUUUAAAUCGUCCCAGAUUUUCAACUACCGGAGAAGGAAGCGCUUCUUUUUUUUUUUUUUUAUGUAAAUGAUAACGAAGAACGGAUAAGUACCAAUUUGUUUCGAAUCGAUGAGAUAAUUCAAUCGUCUUUUGGUUAGCCUUGUUUUACGUGCAUUUUCAUUUUCAGAAGUGAACCGAGAUAUCGAGAGAAAUCGCGGGGACGGAAUUAAAAUCCGAUAUUCCUCGCAUCUCACCAAUCUUUCUGGAGUAUAACACAUGGCUCGUGAUUGUUGAAUUAUCGGUUCACCGCCUGCUAAUUCAUCGUGGAAAUCAUUAUCCUUUGUUGGGUUUAUUGUUGUUGUCAUUGCUGCUCCUACUGUUCCUGCUGUCGUUGCUGCAGUUGCUGCUGCUGUCGUCGUCGUCGUCGUCAUCGUCGUCGUCAUCGUCGUCGUCAUCGUUGUCAUCACCAUCGUCGUUCUUGUUGUUGUUAUACCCUAUGAGAAAAAAGAGAAAAACAAUUUUUUCCAAAAGCAAAUUAUUUAACGAUUAUAAUUAAAACUAUUAAGGUUUCGAAACGAACCGGAUUAUUAAUGCGAGCAUCGUUUUUAAUAAAAUCGAUGCCCAAUUCCUUAGGACGAGUUAAAUUGGAGAGUUCUAUUUUUUCAGAGGUUUCAUCCUCUUCAGAAUUUUUCGAAUAAUCAGAUGCGAAGGUGUAAGCGUCGGCCUCGUCAGAAUCAAUACAGGAUAACAUAGAAGUUGACGAGUUCGAGGAACGACAAUCCUUACUCACGUUUAUUGCCAUGGAAGAAUUAUAUUCAACGUCACCAACGAACCAACCAAAUUCAUCUUCCUCGUUUGAUAGUGAUCGAUCGAUCCUAGCAGUUCCACCACCGGCUAAUCUUCCAUUUAGAUAGAACAUCAUUAACGAUGAUGUCGAUCGCAAACUGUUAAAACAAUUUAUAGAUUGAUUAUUAAUCACUAUCUUCUUGAUCACUAUCUUUUUUUAAUUCCGCUGUUGCAUUAAUUCUAAAUAUAUUUUAAUAUAUUCUAUUUCUCUCUUUUUUCCCUUUUUUCUCCCCUUUUUUUUCUUUUUUUUUUUUUUUUUUUUUUUUUUUUUGAUCGGAAUUAAGGUUAUUAACGUUGUUAAUCAUUUUUAAUCGUACUCAUUAUGUAUAUAUUUAUGUACCUAAUUUCUUCAACGAGAGUUUUAUCGGAACCGACACUACGCGUAAACGAGGAGAAGAAGAUACCAAGUGAUUUUGUUGAAAGUUAAUAUAAACGUCAUUUGACGUAACGCAGACACACACUUUUUUGAAAGUUUCGAAGAACGGGAAGAACGGGAAGAACGGUAAGAUGUUUCGCGACGAAAACGUUAAAACGGUCAAACUGGAUACGUGGAAAGUUGGCUUGGUCAAUGCGAGCGGAUUUAAAACACUUGUACCGCUUCUGCGGCGACAUCGAACAGUCGUGAGUCUUAAAGAAAAAUCGUACGGCUAUGUUGGCAAAGCCAUUUUUGUCUUCUUUUGUUUUUUUUUCGUUUUUUUUUUUUCUUUUUUCUUUUUAA
Molecule: long non-coding RNA, 1872 nt
Organism: Vespa velutina
Lineage: Eukaryota; Metazoa; Arthropoda; Insecta; Hymenoptera; Vespidae
Exons: 2
Source: RefSeq, a predicted model, not a curated record